RNAcentral lists this ribosomal RNA (447 nucleotides) under uncultured bacterium. RNAcentral describes it as "bacterial SSU rRNA". It matches the Rfam family "Bacterial small subunit ribosomal RNA", at positions 355 to 825 of the family's 1533-position model. The record is from RNAcentral.
UGGGGAAUAUUGGACAAUGGGCGCAAGCCUGAUCCAGCAAUGCCGCGUGAGUGAUGAAGGCCUUAGGGUUGUAAAGCUCUUUUACCCGUGAUGAUAAUGACAGUAGCGGGAGAAUAAGCCCCGGCUAACUCCGUGCCAGCAGCCGCGGUAAUACGGAGGGGGCUAGCGUUGUUCGGAAUUACUGGGCGUAAAGCGCACGUAGGCGGCUUUGUAAGUUAGAGGUGAAAGCCUGGAGCUCAACUCUAGAACUGCCUUUAAGACUGCAUCGCUUGAAUCCAGGAGAGGUGAGUGGAAUUCCGAGUGUAGAGGUGAAAUUCGUAGAUAUUGGGAAGAACACCAGUGGCGAAGGCGGCUAACUGGUCCGGUACUGACGCUGAGGUGCGAAAGCGUGGGGAGCAAACAGGAUUAGAUACCCUCGUAGUCCCUGAGCGGGCUGGCAAGGCGCAU